This 35478-nucleotide long non-coding RNA is filed under the name Malus domestica (apple). RNAcentral's name for it is "long non-coding RNA (MDOM_LNC005415)". The record is from RNAcentral. Lineage: Eukaryota; Viridiplantae; Streptophyta; Magnoliopsida; Rosales; Rosaceae.
ACUCGAAAGAUGAGGGAACAAUUCCCACAUGUAACAGUGUAUAAGUUUGUGUCUGAUAUACAGGUAUGGUGUUGUAAUCCGGCCUUCUGUUGCCUUGGAUCCUUUGAUAACUAGUUAAGUCAUAUUCCCAUUUUAAGGUUAAGAAGAAAACAAAGUGUUGUCUUUUUCAAAUUCUAGUUAUGGAUCUUAAGAUUAAUGAAUUUCUAUGUUGUAGUCGUAACAUUUUAUAACUCUAUUUGCAGAACUGGCACCCACUGGCAGGACUGAUGGGUGUUAGCUCUCUGGUAAAUGAUUGUAUCCCCCUCCUUUUUAUUUUUAAAAAAAAAAAUGUGCAUGCUUACUUCAUUAAUAUGAUUGUUCAUCUUGUUUUUCUUAAUAAAUGCUUUGGUGUUUAUUUGUCCAUUCUGCUGCAGCCAACAUUCCAUUUCUAUCAAAAUGGGAAAAAGGUGGGUGAGAUUUUUCCCAGCCGCUAUCUACAUAGGACGCCAGAUGAGAUUCCCAACCUAGUAUGGAUACUUGUGAAAAACUCUACAGGUAGUUAUUUUCUAAAUAACUUCACCGUUGCAUGCUUCUGCUGCAUAAUUGCGAGUGCAGUCUGAAAUUGGUGGCUGCCGGCUGAGGUUUUUGUUUUUCCUUUUCUUUUUUUUAUGGUUCAAGUGAAGUUCCCUCUGAAUGUGAUCUCCCUAUGUUGACACUGGAAGGUACGUCAUCCAGGUUGAAAAACCUCACCCUACGGGCUCAUCUGGGAAAGGGAAGGGCAAAAGGAAGAGUACUUAUCAACAACUUGUCGUGCAAGCUAAGACUGAUGCAAACGAAAAUGACAAAGUAGUUGCUUUAGGAGGGGGGAGAGCGGGUGAUGCAUCGACAUCAUCAGAACAGAGUGAUGGCCGUGUUGAAGCAGUAUAUAGUAGUGGCAGUGCACCUUCACUUGAUAAAGCGAUGAGGGCUGUAUCAGCUAACCCCUAUUGUUAUGAACAUAGCGAUCUGUGGUGGUAUGCAAAAGGGGUAUUGAAAGCUAACCCUCAGAAGAGAGCAACGCUACUGAAGGUGGGGACACGUGAGGUUAGUUGGCUACGAAGUCACAUGUCUGAGGAUUAAGUUGGCCUUGGAUUGGACCGGAUAGGAUGCGCUUAAAAUUUGAUACUCAUUAUAUUUAUGCUGUUCGCGUUGUGGUUCAUGACAGUGACUAUUAUGCUUGUUUAAAUUUGGUCUUAUGUUGUGCUCAUAUUCAGAUAAUCGUCAUACUACGAUGGUCUAUUGUUGGAUAUUUGUCAUCACAACUAUGCUGAAUCGAAUGAUUCUAGAACUCCCAUCCGCAACUAGUAAUGGCUUUGUAAAAGGGUCUGCAAUCUUGGAAUUGGUAUCAACAUGUUCAAUCACCAGCAGCCCUUUCUUUACAUCUUCUCUGACAAAAUGAUAGUUGAUGUCCAUCAAACAAUUGGCAGAAGAUUGCUUCUUGUUUGUGGAGAUGACACAGCAGUCUUGCUGUCUACAAUUCCAAUUUUAAACUCUCUAGAAGAGAUUGAGAAGUGGAAGUUUGACUCUCCAGUUCAUGUCUGAUAAUUUUUUUAACAUACAAUUUUCUAAUCAAAAGAGUGACCAGGCUGUUUUAUUGUUUACUGAGAGGUUGAAGUGUUUCACUCAAAGAUUUUUUAGGUCAAUUUUUGAACAGAUUUGAACUGCAGAAAAAUCCUUAACAACUUGAACUGAUGUCUCAGUAAAAUCCUUAAAAACUUGAACUGAAAUCAUUAUGACUGCAUAUAAUUCUUAUGUUUUUUUUUUGUAGGUUUUGACUGCAAGCAAAAUUAAUAUAUUUAGUUUCUCUCCUUCACCGUUGGAAUACUUGCUGGAUAAUCAUCACUCUCAAAUGAGAUCUGAAUCAAGGAUAAGUUAUAGGACUUAUGUUGUUCGCAAUAUACCGGAAGGCUCAGUAAUUUUUCUCCCACUCCCUUACGUUCCACCUAAUAAUGUCUUCCAUGGCUAGGACACUCUUGACAAGUUGGUUUUAUUUGUCAAACUUACUGAGUCUUCCAGUAUGUUGCAAACAACAUAAGUCCUAUAAUUUAUCAUUGAUUCAUAUCUCAUUUGAGUGAUGAUUAUCUAGCAAGUAUUCAAACGGUCUAAAAAACAGAAACUAAAUAUAUUAAUUUCAUGUGCAGUUAAAGCGUACAAAACAGUUCAAGUUGUUUCAAGAGUUCCCUAAGACAAAUUGGGAGAGUUCCAUCAAACAUUUCAUUUAAAGUUUGCUUAUGAGCAGUUGUGGCACCAUCAACAAUUGUAUCAUAAACAUUACAUUAACAACCUUCCUACCAGUACAAUAUAAAUGUUUAAAGUGAAAACUUCUAAAACCUUCUCUACCAUAUCUGUAUUUUCUGAAGCACUCCAGAACCCCCUUCACAAUAUGGGGUAUUUGGAUUCCUAAAUUCAGUUUUUUUAUUAAAUCGACCUAAAAUAAUCUUUAAGCGAACACUCCACAUUUUCAGUAAAAAAUAAAGCGCCUGGCUCACUAUUCUGAAUAGAAAAUUGUUUACUAAAAAUGGACAUUGGCUUGCCCUGAAGUCUUCCAUUGAUGUGUAACUCAUUGUGUGCACGUGCUUCAAUGGAAUAGUAAAAUAGCUUACUGGUGAUACAUCAAACUGCAUGUAGAGAGGCUAUUCAUAAAAAAAUAUAAAAUCUACAGAAUAUAAAAGUUUCACAUAAUACAGAUAAAAAAUAUAAGGUCCACUAGGAAACUUAAAAGUAAUACCUUGUUGCUGAGCUAGGGUAGGUUUGGGGUUUUGAAUGCAAAAUGCCUACGAGGACUAGCACACAUCAUCUGCUACAACAUCAAGAAUCUAAAUUCAAUAUUUCUCUUCAUUUUAUUCCUUCUCUUUUUCUCCUUUACUAGGGAGAGAGUUUGUGUGUGUAGCUAGGGGAGGUAGAAGGUCAACUGAGCUUUAUUUCAAUUGGGUAGCCUGUUUUGAACUGGGUAGCCUGUUUUGAACUGCUCAUAAUGAAUGUUGAAUGAUGAAUGGAUGAAAAUGGAAAUGAAGUUUCAACUUCUUUUUUUAUGGCAGAAAAAGAAAUUGAAACCUACUUGGUUUAACCACAUCAGAUUGCAAUCAUCCGAAUUGUGUUCAUGUUCAUGCAGAUUUUUGUAAUCUGAUAUAGUUAAACCAUGUAGGUUUAAAUUUUUUUCUUGCAUAAAAAAUAGUUGAAAUCUCAAAUCAAUUUUUAUCCUUCAAUCAUCCAAUAUUCAUUACGUCCAAAGCAGGCUACCCAACUGAAAUAAAUCUAAUUGACCUCUACCUCCCCUACCUACAUUCACAAACUCCCUCCCGGUAAAGGAAAUGACAUCUCUCCAGAAAAUGAAUAGAGAUAUUGGAUUUAGAUUCUUAAUGUUGUAGCAAAGGAUGCGUGCUGCUGUUUGUGCUAGUCAAUCAUUUACUUAAUUGAUAAUGGUAAAAUUUUGUGCAUUCAAUCGUAUAAAGUACAUUGCUCAAGAUCUUUGUCUUUCCUCCAAAAUAUGCAUCCACGCUAAAAAUGAAACUAUGUGCAACUCAAGUGACAAAGUGUGAACAUCCAAUCAUUAUGACCCCUAAUCAUUUCUAUGAAACUUUUAUAUUCUCAAGAUUAUAUAUUCUCUCCAUGCAAUUCGAUGGAUUACCAGUUUUAUCUCCACAUGUGCACACAAAACCUUGUUCGCGCGCUCUGCAACCGUCUCAGAUAUUAUGUUUUAUAAGGUGUUUCAUUUAUCAAAUCCCUCAACUUCCAUCCCAACAUCAUCAUAAUGGUUGACAAAUAUCCUUCACCUUGGAUUUGAAAUUAUAUUGAUAUAUUAAAUCAAUUUCAGCUAGGUAUAAUUAUGUUAUUUUCUACGAGUUACUUUAAUUUCAAAUAAUUAUGUUCGUGUAGAUAAUUGCAAUCUGAUGCGAUUAAACUAUGUAGGUUUCAAUUUCUUUUUCUGGCAUAAAAAAAGAUGAUACAUCAGCUCCAUUUUCAUAUGGAUCCAUCAUCCAACUUUCAUUAUAGGCAGUCCAAAACAGGCUAUAGUAAAGCCCAAUUGAAAUAGAGCCCAUAUGACCUUCUAUAUCCCUAACUGCACGCACCAACCCUUUCUCCCCAUUUAAGCAAAUGACCUAUGCAGAAAAAAUAAAAGACAAGAGAAGAAAAUGAAGAGAAAUGUUGGAUAUGGAUUCUUGAUGUUGAAGCAGAGGAUGCGUGCUACUGCUUGUGCUGAGCAUUUUGCAUCCAGAGUCCCAACCCUAACCUUACCACAGCAACCAGGUAUCAAUUUUAACUUUCCUAUGAACAUUAAUCAUUUCUGUGAAAUUUUUAUAUUCUGAAUAUUUUAUAUUUUUUUAUGUGUAUUCUCCCCUUCGAUGUAUCAUCAAUUUUACAUCCUAAGCUAAUUUCUUAUCCCACAUGUGCUUCAAUGGGAUAAGAAAUAAGCUUAGGAGAUAAAGCUGAUUAUACAUCGAACUGCAAGGAGAGAGAAUACACAUAAAAAAAAUAUAAAAUCUUCAGAAUAUAAAAAUUUCACAGAAAUGAUUAAGGUUUAUAGGAAAGUUAAAAUUGAUACCUUUUUGCUGGAGUAGGGUUAGGGUUGGGACUUUGGAUGCAAAAUGUCCAGCACAAGCAGUAGCACACAUCCUGUGCUUCAACAUCAAGAAUCCAUAUCCAACAUUUAUCUUCAUUUCCUUCUCUCUUCUUUUAUUUUUUCUGGAGAGAGGUGCUUACCUUUACUGGGAAGAGAGUGUUGGUGCGUACAGCUAGGGGAUAUAGAAGGUCAACUGGGCUUUAUUUCAAUUGGCCUUUAUUAUAGCCUGUUUUAAGACUGCCCAUAACUAAUGUCGGAUGAUGGAACCAGAUGAAAAUGGAGCUAAGGUUUCAUCUUUUUUUAUAUGCCAAAAAAAAAAAUUUGAAACCUACAUGUUUUAACCGCAACAGAUUGCAAUCAUUAUGAUGAUGUUGGGAUGGAAGUUGAGGGAUUUGAUAUAUGAAACACCUUAUAAAACAUAAUAUCUGAGACGACUGCAACGCUCACGAACAAAAGGAAAACAAGUUCAAAGGACAAUCUGAAGGCUAUCUAUCCCCACCCAACCGAAAGCUGCUUGGGUGCUGAAGUUUCAGCACGAGCUCUUGCUUACACUCAAUUCUAGGGUGGACACGUGUCCAAUUUUUGAUUUUUUUUAAUCAAAAAUUGAACUCGUGUUCACCCAGGAUUGGGUGUAAGCAUGGGUUCCUGCUUAAACGUUUAGCAACCAAAUAUUUUCUCCUUUUUAUGCACAUCACCCAAUUACACGUUUAAGCUUCCAUUUUCCUGUUAUUCUGAGGGCAAUUUCGGAACACAAAUUAACACGUUUACUAAAAUGUUUGAUGGAACUCUCCUAAUUUGUAUUAGGGAACUCCUAAAACAACUUGAACUGUAAUCAUUGUGUGUAUGAAUAUAAUUCUUAUGUGAUUUAUGUAUUUUUGGUUAUUUUUAUAGGCUUUUAUUGCAAGCAAAAUUAAUAUAUUUAGUUUCUCUUUUUUUAGACCGUCUGAAUACUUGCUGAAUAAUUUGAACAGAAUAAGGAAACAAAACUUCACCGUAUUCAAAGAUUAACAAACAAAAUUAUGCAACAAAGAAACCCCAAAAAGAAAAUAAGAAGCCAAAAUAAUUUUAUCGAAGAAGUUAUUUAAAUAUUAAUUUGAUGCAUUCCUGUAGCAAAAUGCUUAACUCAGAAAAAAAAAAAUCAAACUUUAUCCAUGCAUUUAGAGUUGAAAAUUAUAUCAUCAUUUAAGUCUAGGAUAGGUUCUUCAUAUGUCAUCAAAACGGUUCCAGUUCCCAUGGUCCACAUGUAUAUUCUCAGUUCUGAUCCAGGGGAUUAAUUCUUUUCUUUUUUUUCUGGGAGCAAGUAUGCUUAGUCCGACAUCUCCCAGUUCUUAUAAAAUCAGUUUGAGGUUGCCAUCACAGCAUAUCGAUAAUACAUGAUAAAUGAAAUGUAUUCGAAUCUGUAAAUGUUGAGCCAAGCAAAAGCUGAAGAAAGAGCUUUACCUUCCUGAUUUGCAGAUGCCGAAACUUUGAAGCGUAUUUUUGUACGUUUGGGACCUCUGGACCAGCAGCUUAGGGCGUUCCUUCUCUCGGCUAUACACUGAACCCGAAUGUCCUGCACAAAAUGACAAAAAAAGAAAUGCUGAGAUCUGCGAAGACAGAAGAUAAAGUCAACUAUGUUUUGCAGAUAAGUACCAUAACUUGUCAAAAUAAGGGUUUUAUACCUUGUGUUUGCUCGGAUCUGUGAUCUCCGAGAAGAUAUCUUCUCCUUUGUUCUGUGCAGACCACAAAUAUGGAAUUUUUUCCCCUACAACACAAACCGUCAGCCUUAAAUUUAGUUUAAAUCCGUGGGGUGUCCAAUACAUGCAUUGUCAAAUAGUACCGAUCGUGUUCUACAUUAGAAGAUUAAAUGAAAGCGGGGUCCAUUUUUAUGUACCUGAGGUGUAGAUCGGCUAAGAUUGCAAGUUUGGGGGCGCUGGAUGACCUCUGUGCUCUCGGAGCUGGCGGCUCGUGGUAGUUUUUCUUGCUGUUUGUCAGAUAACCAUACGCAUGUGUUAGAUCUGGCUACAUUUCACUAAAACAACUAACUCUGAAACGAAAAUAACAAGAUUUUAGGAGGGUUUUACCUUCAGCAUCCCAAUUUUUCAUGCUUUCCCCAUCACGACUGGCCCGCUGGGUACUCACGGAGGUGUGUAUGUUGCUGGGUUCUUGGCUGCGAAAAGGAUGCAGGGCUUAGACGGAGCUGCUGUGAAAUGGAUGGUUUGUAUGAAUGAGCGCUGCUUGAGGUUGGAGAAAUGAGCGCAAUUUCUGAUAUUAAAGAGAGAGAAGGCGCCGAGAGAUGAGAGACAUCUCUCAUGUUCUAAACAGAAGUGGCUGGAGGCUUGAAGGAGAAGUCCUCAGAUCAGAACAGAGACGCUAGGGUUUCUAAAAACAAUCAGAAAUGAAAUGAGCGGUCGCGCAGCAUGUGUUAGUCACUAUAUAUGGGAAGAGGCUAAUUUGAAAUGGAGAAAUAAGGAGUCGUUCGGCUCUGAGCUCGAGGAGGAAAGAGGACGAAUUAGGGUUGCGAAAUGGGAACCAGCAGCAACAAUAUUAAAAUAAAAAUCUUGCCAGAGGCCUUGCACUACAAUCCAGCCCAUUGAUUUUGGUAUGCUAUUGGACCUAAAUUUUGGGGAUUGGGUUCAGCCCAAAAGGUUUCUCAUCAUUUCAGCAUGUGAUUUUUCCAAGGUCCAAGCCUUGUCACGCACAUGAUAUUUCCAAAAUAAGCCCCGGUGUGUUCAUUUCCUCUAGUUAUAUAUUUUUUUUAAGAAAACUAAUGAAAAAAGUUUGAAAACUUUGAGUUUUAAUAAUAAGGACAAAAUAAAUGAUGAAGUGAAUAAUAGCAGGAUUGACUUUUUCGUGUAAAAAUAUGGUUUUUCGUUAAAGUGAACAAUACUGGGAGCUUUUCGUUAAAGUUCUCUUUUUUGUUUUUUUAGUUUUUCAUAUAUAGUUUGUUUAGUUCAUGUUUUAUUAUAUUUUUAUUUAGUUUUCACUUCUUUUUGUUUUGUCGUUUUUUUUUUUAGAGUUAGUUAAGGGUUAUGUAUUAUUUCUCUUUGGAUUGUUUUAUUUGUCUUUUGUUUAUUUUUUUCACAUCUUAAGGACAAUGGCAAUCCUCUUGAGUUUUUGUGGGGAUGAUUUCAAGAUUUGAAUGUAUUCCUUUACUUAUCAUCGGACUUGUCUCGCCCUCAAAUCUACCGUAGGGUGUCAGUUAGUUUGGUCAAGUUAGUAUUUUAUCUUAUAUUAAAGUCCCUUAAAGUUUCUUUGGAUAAAAGACCUUUCGAAUGUUAUCUCAAAUGUCAUCUUUAACUAUUCUUAAAUUUAUAAUAAAACCGUUAUGUUUCAUGUCAAAAGAACAUAUUAUUGGAUGUCAAAUUUUAUAAUUUCUUUUUUUUUCAACCUAUCUUUAGUUUUAUAAUUAAUAACUAUGUUGUUAAUAUUAUAGUUGGUAGAAUGAUAGCUUUUGCGGAUAUGAUUUUUAAAUUAUAAUAAAGAUAAUAAACAUGUCUAACAUGCAAUAAUGCAUUAAUUAUAGAUGAGAGAACAAGUAAGUUCCCUUCAAGAGGAACACAAACAUUAUCCAUAACUUGAAACACCUACUAUGGUUAUUUAAUCAUACGGCCUAAUGAUAUUUUUUUUCAUUUGUAAGCGAGAAGUCUUAAAUUUGAUUCUCGUUAAAGGGCGAAGGUUAACCAUAUUAUUAUAGCAAACUUAUUGUAAGACUUGUUCACUUUCCUAUCAGCUUAGUUUCCAUACUAUUGUUUGUUAAAAAAAUACACUAAAACAUUGCAUCCAGUUCUGUCGGUGCAUUGUAAAAUUUCUGAUUACAAAGUGACAAAUUUGAGCACAAAAUGAGAGCAUUAAAGUUCGAGUCUGGUAGUUAAUUAGAGCAGUGAAUACAAGGCUGAAAAUGGUCAAAAGCAUCACAUGUAAAUUGCCCUACAUCACAACAAGUGUCGCAUAUUUUAGUUAAUACCGUUUGUCCAUCUCUCAUUUUAUUUAAAGAAAAAAUAAUGAAAAAUAUUUGAAAGCUUUAAGUUUUAACGAUAAUGAUAAAAUAAAUGGUAAAAUGAAUAGUAUCAUGAUUGACUUUUUCAUGUAAAAAUAUAUUUUUUCUUUAAAGUAAACAGUACCAUAGAAUCGUUUAAAGAGCCUCUCAGCUCAAUGAACUUUACUGAGCCUCUCUCCUUUUAUUUUAAGGAAAACUAAUGAAAAUGGCUUGAAAAUUUUAAGUUUUAACGAUAAGGACAAAAUAAAGGGUAAAGUAAAUAGUACCAUGAUUGACUUUUUAAUGUAAAAAUGUGAUUACCAGGAUUGACUUUUUAAUGUAAAAAUGUGAUUUUUUGUUAAAGUGAACAGUACCAGAAUUGACAUUUUAUUCACAAAAAUUGUACUUUCGAAUAUUUACACGAGAUGUGAUGAGAUUGAUUAAAAAUCUUUUUAGGACUUCAAAAUAAAAUUAUCUUUGAGUUACUCUUAUAAUACAACAUAUCUCUCAUUACAUGUUUAACCCUAUCAUGCCUGGAUCUAGAGAUGACAAAUCAACCUAUUGGGUUGUGAAUGAGUACCUGUUAAGAUCCGUUUAAUUUUAAAUCACCAUAAUAUAAAGGUGAGAUUGGUAAUGAUGGUAAUAAUGUAAGGUGAAAUCAAACUAAAUGAAUCUUAAUAUGUACACAUUAACAAUCUAAUAAGUCGAUUUGCCACAUCUGCUUCCGUAUCAUUUGUUUCGAGGUUAAAUUGGAAACACGAAUUAGUUCGUGUCUGGCCUCCAAUUGCAGAUGACACAUCUAAUGAGGCAUUUGAUUGAGAGACAAUCAUCCCAAACUUUCAUUUUGUUUCCAUUUUUACCCUCCCACUCCAAGCACUAAAUAUCGUAUUUAUUAGUAUUAAAUCUGUUAUUCAUUCUCUAUUUUCUUUUAAAAAAAAUAUAUUAUUCUUUAUUCGUGAGCGAACUAAGUAAUGAAUUUAUUGUUAUCCAUAACUCACGUCAACUACAUUUUAUUAAAAUGACUUAUAUUUAAAAUAUGUACUCGUUAGAAUUAGUAUUGCUUGUUGUCAAAGAAUGUCUUUGUAAUCAUUAUAUUCAAAGCUAUGUGCUUAGAUGUUUUCAUCAAGAAUGAAAUUUCUUUGGCUUUGGCGUACCAUGUCAAUCCUCUUGAGUUUUGUGGGGAUGAUUUCAAGAUUUGAAUGUGUUCCUUUACUUAUCAUCGGACGUGUCUUGUCCUCAAAUCCACCGUAAGGUGUCAGUUAAUUUGGUUAAGUUAGUAUUUUAUUUUAUAUUAAAGUUUCUUUGGAUAAAGGACCUCUCGAAUGUCUUCUUUAACAGUUCUUAAAUUUAUAAUAAAACCCCUAUGUUUCAUCUCAAAAGAACCAAUUAUUGGACGUGAAAGUUUGUCAAAUUUGGUGUUAUAUUAGAUAAACCGUAAUAUUCUUCAGUGUAAUUAGGAUUGAUUAAUAAAUUGACUAGCAUGGGCACAAGUUUUUUUUUUUAAAUAAUUAGAUAUAUGUUAGAAUUACAUGUAGAAGAGGUUUUGAAAAGAAAAAAAAGAGCAAAUUUUAGUUAUGUAAAAUUACAUUUCUACCAUAUAUUUCUUAUUCAUGUUAUGUUUUAAUUAGAGGGUUAAACUGAUAGUUUCAUAGAAUUUUGGUUAAUAAUAAAUGUUUUAUUAAUUACUAGAGAUAGUAGAAAUAAGUUAUAAAUAAAAAAAAAGAGGGUAUUUUCGACAGCACCGCUACAGUACCAGCCUAAUUUGCUAUUCUCCACAGACCCAAAAUAGGAAUAUCAGCAAACCUCCGAAACGCCGCGUUUAGUACGUUCCAGGGGGACCGAGCGCAGCGCACUUCACUGGGCGUUUCAGGUUCUGGCGGGCACGAACGAAACGGCGAUUGACGUCGUACCUUCCUUGGCGCCCAAACGGUAAAUCAAUCGUCGUUUUCGGCAAUUUGGGGCUUGGGGUUUUUUAGAGGGAGUGAAAUGAAAUUGAAUAACUUGCAGACGAUUUCAGAUUUUGAUCCCAAAAUUCGAAGCUGCAUUGGGCUCUGGCGCCUUCUUCUUCUCCUUCCCAAUUACAGUCGUCGUAGCUUUCGCAUUCAGAAAUCGAAUUAUUGGCGCCGCAAAAACUUCCAUCUGAUUGUUUCUUCUUCCUUUCAAAGGUGAGCACUUUGCUUUGCAUCCACAUAUUUGAGUUUGCUUGUUUUCUUUGAAUUUUGAGUUUUUUCUUCUUCUAAAUGUUGAAGAAUUCAUAUGAGUGACUGUAGCAUUGAGCUGAGUGAUCUGUUUGGAGAGUCAAUGAAUGUAAAAUUGUGAUUUUUUUAAUUUAAUUUCUAAUACUCGUGUUUUUGGUCAGUGUGAAAUUCGAACACUUUCCGCUAUCUGGCAUGGUGGUGGCAAAGGUGUUUGAUUGUCGUCACGGAGAUUGUCAGGAACUUGAAGGGUCAGCUGCAUUGGGUAUUGUUUGUCCAAAAUGUCUUCAUCUCCUGGCAAAAAACCAGAGGCUAUAUGUAUAUAUCUACUCUUGUGUAAAUGAUUAUUCUGUUAAUACAAUUGAAAACUUACAGAGGACGUUUUCUGUUUCUAUAUGGACCUCUUUGCAUUUGAAGAUUUCUUGCUUGAGCAGAAGCGUAAAGAACAAGAGACACUUGUGAAGGAGCAAGCUGAGAGAGAAAGGCAAGCAGAAGAGCAGAGGCGAAUUGAAGCGGUGAAGGCAGCAAGUGACGCUGACAGAGCACAUGCAAAGGCAGAGAUCUUAAAGAGACGACAAAUGGUGCAAGAGUUGAUAAAAAAAGGCUGCAAGAUCUGUUCAAGACGUUUGGCACAUAGAGUCUGGAGAGUUUAAAGGCGAGGACUUGGUGAAGUUAUGCUAUAACCAAAGCUCAGGUCCUCUUGCUAAUGCUAAGGAACUAUGGAUUCAUGGGCGGCGUAUUGGUUGGAAUGAUGGAUUGUCAAUUGUAGAAAGGCUCCGUAGCUCUGAGAGAAAGGAUGGUGACUGGUGGUAUGCCAAUGGUACGUAUGUGCAUUUUUGUAUUCCUGUCCUGUCUUCCUCGAACAUGCAUAAAAUGUUACAAUUUGCGGGAGAUGGCUAUUCCUUAUCGUUUGUUUUCAUUCCUUUACCAAUCUGAGAAUUAUGAGAUAAUUUUCUGUUUGUUGCCGGCAUAGCAUGUUGUAAAAUCAUCCUUAUUGUCAACUUUAUUUCUUGUAGUUAUUGUACCUGAUCAAGCUGUUGUCUUGGAGGAGUCACCAAUCAACAUGGUGCAUAUUUCUGUUGAAAUGGCCCCCAUUGCAAGGGCAAGCUUGUGAGCAUACACAUUGUCAGUGUGUACUUGCUUGCACGUAUAGACCCUACUGGUAUUGUUCAUUCCUUUUUCCCCCUCCAUUAUUCAUAACAUUUAUUCUAGGUUGGCGGUCUUGGUGAUGUGCUUACGAGUCUCUCACGUGACGUGCAAGACUUAAAUCACCACGUCGACAUCAUUCUUCCAAAGUAUGACUGUUUGAACCUUAGCAGUAUAAGUUUUUCUGCUGUUGCUUUAUUCCAUAUAUCUUAUAUGCUCUUUUACCCUCUUUUUCAUUAUGCCAUUGAGAAUUGGUCUUUUGUUCCUUCUUUUUUUAUAUUCUGUAAUUUUAGUAAAAAAGUGUGCUCAUUCUAGGUCUUAUAUCUGGCAUUUGCCUGCCUAUUUUGGAGAUGAUUAUUGGAUGUUUUUUUUUGAAACACAGAUUUUUUUCUCUUUCUUGUUUUUUACAUUAUAUUCUUUCUGAUUCAUGCAUUUAGUUGUUCUUAUUCAACAUGAGCUUCAUAAUAAUUUGGUUUCUAAAUUGCUAAAUGUCUGUGUUCCGAUACAGGCGAUCUAGUUUCAGUGUGACAGAGCAUGAGUUUCAGUGGAUGUAAUUUAGCACUUUUUGCAUUAUGUGUGUGUGUGUGUGUGAUUUUCGAAAUUGCACAUUUUUAUGUGGAUUUCAAUAUGUUGUGUUGCCGUUUUCUUAUAUAUUUUCUAAAUUAGUGCCGUCAGUUCUAAAUCUCUUUAAUGGCAUAACAGAUGCAAACAGAAUGCACUCGUAUUUUCUCAUUUGUGGGUUGCCAGAGUCUUGACCUAUGGUUUUAAGUACGAGUGUUUAGAAAUUGUUUGAAACCUGGGUCGGAUGCGUGAGUCCUGUAAGCUGAUUGAUAUUGUUGGUUUCUUCUGCAGGAUUACGUUCCAAAAGAAGCGUUUCUGGUUUUGAACCUCUCGUCGCCAGACUUCAAGCUAUACAAUCAAUUUACAAACUAGACAAAAAAUGCCUCACAUGUAUCCAGCUUAAGCUUUUGGACAAAUAUAUAAGAUCCCCUUAAUUAAGCGGCAAUAAUGGGUUGGGGUUGGGCAGCUUGGCUUCAAUCCUGAUGUCCUCCAUUCUUCUUCUCCUUGCUGCAUUUCUUCAUGGUUCUCUGUAUAUAAUAGAGAACCAUUUUGUUGUUUUUCUAGAUCUUGCAGUUGAAGUCGACGUUGGUUCUUCUUCUCCUCCAUCAGCCACACAAGUGAUGUCAUCCUGGCCAAGAGACGACCCAUUCUCAGAUAAGGUAGAAUUAACAGAUGAUGAUGAGACUUUCCACCAAGGUCGGACAUAAGCUCUUCGGAUUCAUCAUUACCAGUGUAACUGCAACUGCAAGAAAUAAUCGAAGUUUUUGCAAGAAAAGCAAGGAUUCCAUUACAAAUAAGAAACAUUAGGUUGUUGGGCUACUUGCAAAUUUGCAAGUGGAACUGGUUCCUCAGCUUGAAAAUGUGGCUCCAUCUUCAUCUCGUCAACAACCACCCAAAAAUUCACUGGCUGCUACUGUUGUUGAAAGUACCACGAAGCAAUCACUUGCUCUAGUUCCAAAGGAUGUAUCAAAGCUAGCACAGAGGUUUUUUCAUUUGUUCAAUCCAGCAUUAUUUCCUUAUAGACCACCCACAGGACCAGUCGCGAACCAGAUUCUUUUCACUGAUGCAGAAGACGAGUGAGUUGCACGCUUUCUCCUUCAUUCUUGAGUUGGUGGCUUAUCCUGAUUUGUUUUUGUAGUCAGACUUUGGAAAUUGUGAUUAAUAUCAAUCUAUAUUAUUCGUUUAUUAUAGUUUUUGGGUUCAAGUGUUUUAUAUUGGAACUGCAACACAGAUUAUUAGCAUCGGAGAUGAUGGAAUAUAAUACAGAUUCGAAGGCAAUUCAACAACGUUUUCUUCCUUGCAAAACUAAGCACCAGGUAAUUUUUUCUAGACUAUGUACCAGGUAAAACAUUGUGUUGGCUGCCGAACUGCUCAUAUUAGAGAAAAGGGUGUGGCUAGACUUCAAGUCAGAUUCCGUUCUAGACUUAAAUCAUUGCUACUUAUAUCCUUUGCUUCCUAAAUAUUGAUGAAUGUAUUGAGGCUUAGGAAUUUUCUGAGCUUUUGGAAUAAAAAGUAAUUGCAGUGUAAGAAACACAAGGUUUUGGGUUCGGGCUGUGAUUGUAAAAGAAAUAGGAGGUUCGGAAGAUUUGUUUCUAAAAGUUACAUCAAAGUGGAUCAUAGUCUUUUAAGUUUGUCGGUUUAGCUGAGCCUGGACUACAAAAUUAUUAAAGAUGGGGAUUUUUAUUUUAAGUUCGGUAUUUGAUGCAGGACUGCCAAGCUGAAAAGUCUGGUCGAGAGAAGAGCGCAGGUGGUUUGACCGACAAUAAUGCAGGUGGAACUUAUGUUCAUGAGGCCUGGCCUUUUUAGCAGAUUGGAUACGGGGUAUUUCCUGUGUGGUGCUAUCCAUGAAUGGGUACAUGUUUUUGGGGUUAAGGAUGCUACUCGAUGGUCAAUCUUAAAGCACCUGGUGUUAGACAUUUUGCAUCCAGUACCACACAAGCGAAUCAUUCUGUUUCUCAACUCUGUUAUCAGCCGUAUCGAGCCCGUAUAACUAAUGGUGCGCUAGCUUAACUCUGUUAUCGGCCGUAUCGAGCCCGUAGAACUAAUGGUGCACUAGUUAAGCUAGCGCCGGAAUUGCCUGCUAUGAAACUUCCACCAGUUGUUGGUGUAGUCUCACAAUCUGCCUCCAGAGGCUUUUUACGUGGGACAUCAACAUCAUCCACAGUUUCAACUUCCGGAGGUGGUAGUGGUGCUUGCUGCAACACACGAUCUAUUUUCUCAACUUUCUAAAGUUGGAAGGUCCAGAAGAUUCUAGAAUUAUCAAGGAUAAAUGUGCAGGAGAAGGAAUAGAUGUUGAUUGUGAUCUUCAGAUGAAUGGGAAGCUAAAGACCUGUACAAUGGCAUAGGCGCAUCGCUCACAUCGUCUUGAAUUCGUAAAAUAAUGUUCAGCUCUUGCAUGAUCAGUUUUCGAAUGCCAUACGAUUGUAGUUUGUUUUUCAAGUUUACUCUCGGUUUUUCACACUUGUGCAACUACUAGUUAUUUGAGUACCAAUGGAUCUUUGGGAACUAAAUCCUACUUGCUAUUCAAUCGUACAGUACAUCGCUCAAGAUCUUUGUUUUUUUCUCCAAUAUAUGUAUCCACACUAAGAAUGAAACCAUGCGCAACUUAAGUGACAAAUUAAAAAAGCAUCCAAUCGUUUUAAAUCAUAAUAUAUAAAUUGUUGUGCUUGAAUUGAAAAUCAGACUUUCAAACCACCAUAAUAACAAAAUCUGUUCUAUUCCAUAAACCAGACAUAUAACAAAUCUAUUCAAACUACCAUAAUAACAAAAUCUGUUCCAUAAAUCAGACAUAAUAAAUCUAUCUACUCAGCCAUCCAAAUCUAUUCUAGUCAAUCAUCCAAGCUUGGUCGACCAUCUUCCAACUCGAAAUCUCUCUCCUCGUGGCAAAUCAGCUACCUCCAUCACUUUAAGCCCUUCAACUUGACAAAAUUCAACUGAGGAUGUACACAAGAAUUGCAUCCGCAGUUGAAUUUUGUCAAGUUGAGUGUACUCUCAAAUAGUAUUUAGGUCGUUUUAUAAUCAUAUUCGAAUUGCAGAAUCCAACUGCAAUUAUACCAGAGAUUCGCCAUGUUUUGAAGAGGGUUCUAGAUAUGUUUUUGAAAUACCAUUCUGAUAACAAAUUUAGACAAAUCCACCUAGAAAAUUUGUAUUGGACGGGUAGGAAGGUGGUUGGUAUUAUGUUUAGGAAGGAGCCAAGGAGAGUGAUUUGGAUGCUCUAAAAGUGACGGUAACUAAAAUGUUCGAUGGAACUCUCCCCACUUGUCUUAAGGAACUGUUGACUCAAAUUGAUGAGAAUUCAUUGUGAGUAUACGUAUAAUUCUUAUGUAGGCUUUGACUAAUUUAGUUUCUCGUUUUUUUAGGCCGUUGCAAUACCUGAGAUCUCAAGAAAGGAUAAGCUACCGGACCUAUGUUGUUCGCAACAUAUUGGAAUGCUCAGUAACGUCGGUAAAUAUAGGCAAAUUGGAUAACUAUUGGAAGAAUGAUCCAAUAUGUCAGCUUGUUCAACCUGUCGCAUGGAAAAACUUGUUAGGUGGAACCUAUGAGAGUAAUGCUAACUGUUGGAACAGGCAGUCGGAGGAUCAUAUCCCGUAUCUUAUAAUGGCGAGGAAUAUUGGGGAGCAUCAUUUGUCUGCAAGUAAUAUUGAUGAAAAUUGUGCUCCCCAAUAUUCCUCGCCAUUAUAAGAUACUGCCAUUAUAAGAUACUGGAUAGGAUACUCCAACUGCCUAUUCCAACCGUUAGCAUUACUCCCAUAGGUUCCACCUAACAAGUUUUUCCAUGCGACAGGUUGAACAAGCUGACAAAUUGGAUUAUUCUUCCAAUAGUUAUCCAAUUUGCCUAUAUUUACCGACGUUACUGAGCCUUCCAAUAUGUUGAGAACAACAUAGGUCCGGUAGCUUAUACUUUCUUGAGAUCACCGGUAUUGGGACGGCCUAAAAAAACGAGAAACUAAAUCAAUCAAAGCCUACAAAAAUAGAUAAAUCACAUAAGAAUUAUAUGUAUACUCACAAUGAAUUCUCAUCAAUUUGAGUCAGCACUUCCUUAAGACAAGUGGGGAGAGUUCCAUCGAACAUUUUAAUUACUGUUGCUUUUAGAGCAUCCAAAUCACUCUCCUUGGCACUUGGCUCCUUCCUAAACAUAACACCAACCAUCUUCCUACCAGUCCAAUACAAAUUUUCUAGGCGGAUUUGUCUAAAUUUGUUAUCAGAAUGGUAUUUCAAAAAAAUAUUCAGAACCCCCUUCAAAACAUGGCGAAUCUCUGGUAUAAUUGCAGUUGGAUUCUGCAAUUCGAAUUUGAUUGGAAAACGACCUAAAUACUAUUUGAGAGUACACUCUGCCCUAAAAAAUAAAGUUGACCCAUGCUCCCUACUGUGAACAGGAAAUUGGAUUCUAAGACAAUUCUCAGAUAGAAAAUGUACAGAAUCAGACUUCCAGUGGAUAACAUCUAAUAUGUUAGAGACGUUAAAGAUUGACAUUGGUUUGCCAUGAAGUCAUUCCAUUGAAGACGGUGUGACUCGAGGUUGAGUGCUUGUUCAAUGGAAUAGGAGAAGAAAAAUCGCUCGGUGGAGGCAAAAUUGGUAAUACACCGAACUGCAGGGGGAAUGUACAUAAAAAAUAUAAAAUUUUCAAAAUAUAAAAGUUUCACAUAAAUGAUUGAUUAGGGUUCAUAGAAAAGUUAAAAUUGAUACCUUGGGGUAGGGCUGGGAGUUGCGGUAGGGUUGGGGUUGGGACUCCGGAUGCAAAAUGGCCAGGACAAGCAACAGCAACAAGCAUCCUCUGCUUCAACAUCAAGAAUCCAUUUCCAACAUAGCCUGUUUUGAACUGCCAUGAUGGAUCCGAACGAAAAUGGAGCUGAGGUUUCAUCUUUUUUUUAUGCCAGAAAAAGAAAUUGAAACCUAAAUGGUUUAACCGCAUCAGAUUGCAAUCAUCUGCACGAACACGAACAUAAUUAAUUAUUUAUAAUUCGAAAAAAAGAAAUUAAAGUAACUCAUAAAACAGAAAGACAAGAGAAGAAAAGAGUAUAUUUGUACCUAGCCGAAAUUGAUUUAAUAAAUCAAUAUAAUUUCGAAUCCAAUCGAUCCAAGGUGAAGGAUAUUCGUCAACCAUUAUGAUGAUGUUGGGGAUGAAAGUUGAGGGAUUUGAUAAGUGGAACACCUUAUAAAACAUUAGGAAGGUUUCAGGGAAGAAAUCAGAGAGUUCCAAGUUUGGGUUUGGCUUUUUGGGGGUUGGUCUGGAUUUAACUAGGAGGAGAGGGCAUAAGCGAAAGAAACGGUUCGCAAGGGAAGAAAUCAGAGAGUUUCAAACUACGAAGAGAGGGCAUAAGCGAAAGAACGGCUGCAGAGCUUGCAAACAAGAGCACCUUUGUAUAAUCUGAGUUUCAGAAGGCUAUAUAUCCCCACCCAACCCUAGGCCCUUUGUAUAUAGCUUUAGUGGAAGACAGCACAUCACCCAAUUACACGUUUAACCUUCUAUUUACCCGUUAUUCCGAGGGCAAUAUGGGAACACAAAUUAACACGUUUAAAAAGGCAUUUAAUUGAGAGAUCGUCAUCUCCACCUAUACUUCAAAGUUCACAAAAGUCACUCAUUUCUUUUUAGAAUAAAAUAAUAUUGUUAGAAAAGAAUAAAAUAAAAUAAAUCAUUUGGGUUUUCUCAACUACGUCACAUCCUACUAUUGCCAGAGCAAUACCAAUUACUUAACAUUUUAAAUCAUUUGGUUUUGGGUCCCACGUGACCACUACUCUUGCCCGUUUAUUUUCACUCCUCCCCUCAGCUGACACUCAUCAGCUAUCUCACCCUCAUUCUCUAGGAUAUCGUUCGGUAUGCAGACGAAACGAAACAGAAAAGGAGUAAAGAUAUCAUCGAAUAGAAACAAGGAGAAAGAAGAAGGAGAUGAAGAUGUUAUAAUUUUAUGUUCUACGGAUGUGGAAUGAGUCGUUCCAGAAGAUAAGGCAGAAGCACUCCGUUAUGUCGCGUCCCACGUAUCAAAUGGUAGGGUGCGUUUGGUACGCAGACGGGACGGAACGGGACGGGACGGGACGGGACGGAACAGAACGAAGGUGUAAUUUUUUAAAAAGGCAUGGGGUAUAUUUGUCUUAAAAUGGUAAAACAUUGUGUUCCACAGACGUGGAACAAACCCGUUCCAGGGGGUGGAGGUGGGACGCAAAAACACCCAAAAUCUGUCCCGUGGAACAGCCCGUUCCAUCCAUUUUUGGCGCACCAAACGCGGGACGGAACGCCUUGUCCCGUUCCGUCCCGUCCUGUCCCACGUACCAAACGCACCCUAGAAGCACUCCGUCUCUUCCCCCAACAAAACACACACACACACACACACUCUCUCUCUUUUCUUUCCCUCUCCGUACGUGCCCUUAAUUUUAAUUUGAAGUUGACAAAUCUAUCCAUUAAUUUCGUGUUUACCCUUAAUUUUACAAAUGGGGUGUGAUAUCCACACACCCAUUUUUACUUCUCACACACCCUUUUAAUUUUCGGCCGUCGGAUCAGAUGAAAUGAAGAAGAUCUAACGGAUAGAAAUUAACAAGGGUGUGUGAGAAGUGAAAAUGGGUGUGUGGAUAGCACACCCCUUACAAAUUGGCCAUUAAUUUCGUAAUUAUCCUUAAGUUUACAAAUCGACCAUUAAUUUCGCCCUCAUCAUUUGUUGAUUUCCUUCCUCAAUUCUCUCUGAUCAACCCCCUGUUCUUGGCAGGUCCCCUCCCUCACCCCCCCCCCCCCCCCCCAUUUUUCUACAGAGAGACGUCGUGUGAGAGGAAGAGAGUAGUGGUAAUGACGGCACCAGAUUGAAAUGAUGAAUCUGUUAGGUUAGAUGAAUAUGUGGGGUUUUUUAAAAGGAAAACUAACGAAAAUUUCAUAAAAACUUCAUUUUUAACAAAAAAUUCUUUUUAAAGGUAUAGUAAAUAAUGAUGGUUAAAAGUAAAAAUGUGGUUUUUCGUUAAAAGUGAACAGUAUCAUGAGUGUUUUGUUAAAACUCUCUUUUUCAAAUCACAAAUAAUAUUAUUUUAAUGACUAUAUGCCCACAGUCCAUCUUAUGUUCAAAAUUUCUAGACACAUGCAUGGAAUUGGUCUGCACGAAGACCAUCAGACGGCAAAAGUUGAAUUGAGUCAGCUGUCACCAAUUUUCAAGGUGCAAAGUUAUCAUUUUUGCCCUCAAUUUUGAAACAUGCAUAGUUCGUUACAAAUCGGAAAUGAGUUUCGUCUGCUGUCACGUAUUUAUAAAAAUAAGUACCAUUCGAAAAUAAUAAAAUAAAACUGAAAAAGUGAAAGGAAAAUUGAGGUUCACGUAGAAGACUUACGUGGCAUCACAGGAGUAUUUUGAUAAUUUCAUUAUUACUGAGAAUAAAAUACAAUAAAUCUCGGUACAGGAUGUCACAUAUCAAAAUUUAAAUAUUUUUUUUAAAUUAAAAUGUUCAUUGAAAACAAAUUAAGAUAAUCUACAUAAAUUUUAUUUUCAAAAAAGUUACCCAAAAAAAAUUUAGGUUAAAAUUAUUAUUUAAUAAUUUUGGUCUAAAAUUUUAAGCCAUAAGAGUUGGAGGAGAAAAAUAAUUUCUGAGUUAUGAUUUAAAAUAUUUUGGCUUAAAUUUUAAACUUUAUCCCCAAAGGUUGGAGAUAGUCUUGGGACUUUUACAGUCAGCCAAACAAUUGCAAAACUUCACCAAUCUUCCAAUCUAUGCACAAGUUCACGUAAUGCAAAUUCAAAAUCUACCAUUUAGCUACUUAGUACUACAGUAUAAUGAUAUUUAUUUUCAAUAGCCUAUUUAUUUUGAAGUCUCUCUCCUAAAAAGCUAUCUCUCUCCCAGCAAACCCUAGACGUCAACCCGUUCGCCGCCGGCCUCUGGCUAUGGCUGGGGGCCGGUGGCAACCUCUCAUCUCCCUUUCCUAGCUCAUCAUCCCUUUCUCCUUCCCCUAUUCCCCAUCUCAGCCAUCAUCCACCCCUCGCCAUUCUCGUUUUUCUUCCCACCUCCUCGCCGACCCAUCAUUCCCGACCUUUCCCUUUCUCCUCUCCCCUUCCUUGCUUCUCUCCCACCAUUUUGGGUGCAGAUUUCCAUGGAUCUAUGCCCUAUACCAUGACCUGGGCCAUGCCCUUUCAAGAUUCUCUUCGAUUUGGCGCUUGUUUUCCUUGUGUGGGGUUUAGAUAUAUGCUGCAGGUGGCUUGGACCCCCUCGUCAACUCGGUUUCAUGGUGGUGGCUCCCUCCUCGACGGCUUCGGUGCUCUCAGCUCUGGAGGAUCGGCUUGGUAUGGGAGCUUUGUAAUACCCUGAAAAUUUUAAAUAUAUGAAAAUGUGGAGAAAAUCGAAAAUAAAUCGAUUUAUGAUUAUGAAGAAUUAAAUCGAGAAUAUUAUUGAACUUUUAUAUGAUUUUUCAAGAAAUUAUAAUAAUUCGUGUAAGUUUAGUUUUAAAUUAAACUAGUUACGAGGUUUAAAGUUUGGACCUUAAUUAUUUAAAAUACGUAGACCUUUUAAGGUCAAAAAUUAUAUUUUUGAAUAGAGCUCGACCUCACGAACGCGUAGGCGCAAACCGUUCGUGAAACGGAGUUAGAACGAAGAAGUUAUUAACGUUUAAAGUUAGGGGCAUUUUAGUAAAAUGGUUAAGUUCAAGAUAAUUCCAGAUUUUUGAAGAAAAAUCUGGAAGGCCACGUGUGUGGCCGAGAUUUAAAGACAUAAAUGAUGGGCGGUGUAGAGGGGAAAUAAAGGAGAGAAAUGAGGGAGAGAGGAACCAAUCAGAAAAAAAAGGGAUGAGAGGUGACCAAUGAGGGAGGAGAGAAAUGAGGAGAAAUGAGAGAAGAGAGACACGGGGGAUCGGGACCCGGGUCUUGGUGACCCGACCUGGUCGGCAUCAUACACUUUUCCGGUGGAUUUUCACCCCUUUUUCCGGUGAAAUGCAUCAAACCACCCUUUGGAAACCCCUCAACGAUCUUCCCUCUUCCUAUUGCAUCCCAAAAAUCAUAAAAUUUGGUCUUGAAAUUUAAAGAAAGAACACUCGGUGCCGCGACUUUCCUUGUUCGAAAUCCAUCAAAAUCUGAAAUGUUUUGGUUCAAUUACAACCACCAUUAGACUCCCCUUAAGAGCUGGAACAAAGCCCAUUCAUUGGUUGGGGCGUCGGAGUUGCUAUGGAGUCGAAUUGAGGACACCCAAAUCUUAGGGUCCCGACGGGUUUUGACGAAAUUGGAGCCUUUCCAGGGCAAAUUGGCCUUGGUUGCAGGUAUGAAAGUUUCUCUACUCAUUGAGAUCUUCAUUUCUGUAAUUUUUGAGAAUUUUUAAAAAUAAUUAAAUUUUUCGGCGAACCGGGGCAGCCGACCGCCACCGCGGCGAUGGGUGCGGUGGCUCACAGCCAGGGAGCCUACAAGUGUGUUUUAUGCGAAUUUUGUUAUUCUAAUUAUGUUUUUUUGAUUUAAUUGAUGUGGUUUGAACAUUACUACGUUUUUGGUAUAUGUUGGAUUAAAGGAAUAUUUUCGGGUUUGGUUAAAAUUUUGAAGUUUUGAACUAUGAAAGGCUUGAUCCCUGUUGAGGGUACGUAGGCAGUCUAACGAGACGUUAGAUGCAGCCAUAAAAUAAAAGGAAAACUAAUGAAAAUGACUUGAAAACUUUGAGUUUUAAUGAUAAAGACAAAAUAAAGGGUAAAGUGAAUAGUACCAGGAUUGACUUUUUAGUGUAAAAAUGUGGUUUUUCGUUAAAGUGAACAGUACCGGGUGCUUUUCGUUAAAGUUCCCUAAAAUAAAUGUGUUUAAAUAUUCGAGAAUUAGUAUAUAGAUGGAAAUUGAUCCAAGAGAAGAAAAUAAAUUAGCUAUGUUUUUAGGUUGGGCCUACCAUACUUAUUUUCCCGAAAUAUACAAAUAUAUCGGGGCAGGGGCGUUACAAGCUUGGUGUGUUUGUCUCGGUACGGCUCGGCUCGACUUAAGCGUGGACGCCGGCGUCCCACUGUCCAUAUUUUGGAGGAGGCCUAGGCCUGGGUGCCUCGUUCCCCCUGUUUUUUAGUUGUACAUUGGAUCCUUCUAGGUGUAGUUUAGUUCCUCUCGCCCUUGUGCACCGCGGUGACGCUGAUUUUUGGCUAAUUUGGUCUUUGCCUUUGUGCGUUGUGUAUUGUGAGUCUCGUCUGCUAACGGUGACUUUUAAGUGAUCUCGCACUUUCGCAAUGACUUUUUGUAGCCUCGCUAUUCAACGAUAACCGUUGUGUCUGCUGAUAUCUCUCUGGUGCAUCUAUCGUUUAGUGACAGAUAUGUACUGGUAGAUUUGUGCGCUUGGCGACUGUGUGGUUGAGCUUGUGGGUGUCUACUAGGGGUUUAAUGUUAUUUGUUUGUUUUUGUGCAAAUUCAUUACAGAUCAAUUUAUUGGUCACUGGAAUUAUGUACCCAAUGACACUUUGUAAUUGUUUGGUGUUGAUUAAUGAAAUACUAUGCUAUCGUUUAUUGUAAAAAAAAAAAAAAACCCCUAACCCUAGCCCUAUCCUCUUUUGAGCUGGUGGUCUGUGUCAAUCCGUAUGCGGACAUGGGUAAGUGGUGACCAAAACAAUGAUGCCCUGAGAUCCGUUUGCUACUCGAACGAUACAUAUGUAUGUAUGUAUGGAACAUUCGUGAUAACUAACAUAUGGUCCUAUCCUAAAGCUAAAAGUAUCCGCUAAUCAAGGGUUAAUAUAAAUUAUUGAGGCAAAACUUCCUUUUACGACACAUGAUAACAAUCUCGCUCAUUGAUGAAUUCAUGCUUCCAACACUGGGGUCUCAAUAUAAAAAGAUAAAAAGACAAAAUUAGACAAAAUUAACAUUGAAAUAUUCGGUAUCUUUGUAAGACCAUGAUUUUCAUCUAUAAUAUUGUUCCAUACUUUAAUGAAACCAAGAAAUAUCAAUUAACAAAGAAGGGAAAUAUAUACAAAUUAAAAGAAGGGAAAUAUAUACAAAUUAACAACCAACAAAUGGUUUAUUUAUAGGGAACUUUAACGAAAAGCACCCGGUACUGUUCACUUUAACGAAAAACCACAUUUUUACACUAAAAAGUCAAUCCUGGUACUAUUCACUUUACCCUUUAUUUUGUCCUUAUCAUUAAAACUCAAAGUUUUCAAGCCCUUUUCAUUAGUUUUCCUUUAUUUAUAAUAUACCCUACUCAUCUUUCUUAAUGACAGAAAGAGUACAAAAUUGUCACGCAUUCCAAAUUUAAUCAUAUUUUAUUUUUUAAUAUUAGAAAGUUACAAAAGUACUUUUGACGGACUAAGUGGAAAUCUUAUGUUAAUGUCCUAAUGUGAACAUUUGAGUCCUUGUUACACUUUGCUCUCUUUCUCGUCGUUCUAGACGGUAUGUAUGUGUUCUCAUGAAUAUAAGAGCACGAACGAUGCAUAAAUCAAAUAAUUUUGACAACAACAAAUACAAAAUCACUGAUUGACCUCUCCGUUUAUCCCCCACCCCCCUCUCUCUCUCAUUCGACAAAAAUAUCCAUCAUCCUCUUUUCAAAAUUGCAAUUAUAUAACUAAAAAUAAUAUAUAAAUAAAAACAGAAAAUAUGAACCAAAGAUUGACAAGGGAAACUAAAAUUUAAAAUAAUAUAUAACUAAAAAUAAUAUCUGUCUCGUUCUAAGAGGACCCUACCCCUUCAACUUGUGCAACGGCAAGGUAUGAAUUCUGUUAAUCUCUUUCUGAAUCAAACCAACCCGAUUUUACGUUUUCUCUUGGUCUAGCUCACCUAUGAUUUUGCUGCAUUCGGUCAUUUUGUUGGAUCAUUUCUUAGUUCACUGAAUAGCCCAUGUUUUGGUUUGAUCAGUUUUUGUGAUUAGUUAUUGUUUCUGAUUCAUAUUUUCUCAGAACAACUGUGAUUCUUUGUUGUUAUGCUUGCUGGGUGUUAAUCAAUUUGUUUGAUUUUCAAUUGAUUAAUCUGUUGUUGAUAUCCAUUUUUGAGCUUAAUCGAUGUUUUCUAAUUGAUUAUGGUUUCUCACUGCCUUCCAGUCUUCUUGGCCAAUGUAAGUGAAUCGAAUGGUAAACGCCACUUAUUUUAUCGUAAGAUGUCGGCAUUUUACUAAGAGUCAUAUAGUGUUUCGACGGAGCACUUCGAGGUAAAAAAGUUUCUGCGUUCAACCUCUCUAACAAUGCAGAUAUAGAAAAUUGGAUAAGUGACAAUCAGCAACGAUUCUAAACAGAUAGUGGCAUACGAGUUGAUAUGAUUGGUUAAAAAUCAUAUCGAAAAUCUAUCCACAAAAUUCUUAUAGAAUCAUGAUACGUGUCGCUACGGCAUUUGUUAAAAAUCUACCCAUAAAAAUUGUACUUUCGAUUAUCUUUGAGUUGCUCUUAUAAAUUAUAAUACAUCAUAUCUCCUAUUACACGUUUGAGCCUAUCAUGCCUGCAUCUAGAGGUGGCAAAUCAACUCAUUGAGUUGUUAAUGUGUACUAAUUAAGAUCCGUUUAAUUUGAUAUCACAAUAAUAUAGAUGUGAAAUUGAUUGUAGUGGUUAAUGGGCACUCAUUAACAACUUAAUAGGUCGAUUUACUACCUCUACCUGCAUUUAUAUCAUUUGUUUCGAGGUUAAAUUGGAAACACGAAUUAGUUCAUCUCUAGCCUCCAAUUGCAAGAUGACAUGUUUAAGGAGGCAUUUAAUUGAGAGACCGUCAUCCCAAACUUUCAUGUUGUUCCCAUUUUAACCCUCCCACUCCAAGCACUAAAUAUCAUAUUUAUUAGUAUUAAAUAUGUUAUUUAUUCUCUAUUUUAUUUUUUAAGAAGAUAUUAUUCAUUAUUCGUGAGUGAACUAAGUAAUGAAUAUAUCAACCACAUUUUAUUACAAUGACUUAUAUUUGAAAGUUAUAUGUACUCGUCAGAGUUGGCGUUAUUUGUUGUCAAAGAAUGUCCUCGUGAUCAUUAUAUUCAAGGCUGUGUGCAUAGAUGUUUUCAUUAAGAAUGAAGUUUCUCUUGCUUUGAAAUACUAUGUCAAUCAUCUUGAGUUUUUGUGAAGAUGAUUUCAAGACUUAUGUGUUCCUUUACUUAUCAUUGGACUUGUCUCGUCCUCAAAUCCACCUUAGGUGUUAGUUCGUUUGGCCAAGUUAGUAUUUUACUUUAUAUUAAAGUUUUUUUGGAUAAAAAAUAUCUUGAAUGUUAUCUCAAAUAUCUUCUUUAACAAUUUUAAUUUAUAAUAAAACCGUUAUGUCUCGUCUCAAAAGAACAAAUUAUUGAACGUCUAAAAUUGUCCAAUUUGGUGUUGUAUUAGAUAAACCGUAAUAUUCUUCGGUGUAAUUAGGAUUGAUUAAUGAAUUUGAUAAGUAAAAAAAAAGGGUAUUUUCGACAGCACAACUACAGUGCCCGCCUAAUUUGCCAAUCUCCCCAGACCCAAAAUUGGAAAAUCCGCAUAGCGCCGAAACGCCGCGUUUAGUACGUUCCAUGGGGGCCGGGCGCAACACACCGCACUGGCCGUUUCAGGUUCUGGCGGGCACCACGAAACGGCAAUUGACGUCGUACCUUCCUUGGCGCCCAAACGGUAAAUCAAUCGUCGUUUUCGGCAUUUGGGGCUUAGGGUUUUUUAGAGGGAGUGAAAUGAAAUUGAAUAAAGUGCAGUCGAUUUCAGAUUUUGAUCCAAAAAUUCGAAGCUGCAUUGGGCUCUGGCGCCUUCUUCUUCUCCUUCCCAAUUACAAUCUUCGUAGCUCUCGCAUUCAGAAUCGAAUUAUUGGCGCCGCAACACUUCCCAUCUGUUUGUUUCUUCUUCCCUUCAAAGGUGAGCGCUUUGCUUUGCGUCCACAUGGUAUCGUAUUUGAGUUUGCUUGUUUUCUUUGAAUUUUGAGUUUUUUUUUUUUAAUGUUGAAGAAUUCGUAUGAGUGACUGUAGCAUUGAGCUGAGUGAUCUGUUUGGAGAGUCAAUGAAUGUAACAUUGUGAUUUUUCAAUUUAAUUUCUAAUAUUCGUAUUUUUGGUCGGUGUGAAAUUCGAACAGUUUCCGCUAUCUGGCAUGGUUAUAUGGUGGCAAAGGUGUUUGAUUGUCGUCACGGAGAUUUGCAGGCCUGUUACGACUUCUAGAUUUGAAUAGAACUUGAAGGGUCAGCUGCAUUGGGUAUUAGUUGUCCAAAAUGUCUUCAUCUCCUGGUGAAAAGCCUUCUCCUGCUACCGAUAGCUUGAGUAAGCGGCAUGAGAGUGUAUUGAGACUUGAGGAGGAUGAGGGUGAAGAUGAGGAUGAAGAAGAAGAUAUUGAUUUCAAUCCUUUUUUAAAAGGAACUCUUUCGCCCGAAGCUUCUUCAAGCCUGAGCUCUGAUGUAGAAGGUUUAGACGGUGGAGUUGUUGACAGCAGCAGAACCACUAUUGAACCUGCCAGGAUUAAUUCUUUGAGAGUGGCUUGUGAGGUGCAAAAGUGUUCUGUUGGGGAUUCUGAGCAUGGGGAGGAAGAAACCUUGAUGCAAACUAAUGUUUCUCCUGACGGCACAUCUGCAAAUGAGUUUGAAAAAACAGUUUCCGGAAAUGCUAACAGUGAAGCUGUUCAAGAAGAGGAUCAUGUCUCAAGCAGUGAAACUGAUGUUAAUGUUGCUAUAGUAGGAGAGUUGACUAACACAGAAGACAUUCCAAAGCCCACUAUGGAUUUAGAUGAUGAGGAUGAGGAUGCUAUUUGUAAACGCACCAGGGCCCGCUACUCAUUAGCAAGUUUCACACUUGAUGAACUCGAGAAUUUUCUUCAAGAAACAGAUGAUGAGGACGACCUCCAAAAUGUUGAUGACGAAGAAGAAUACAGGAAAUUCCUCACUGCUGUUUUACAGGGUGAAGGUGAUGACCAGUCAACUAAAGAAAAUGAAAAUGCUGAUGAUGAAGAUGAGGAUAAUGAUGCAGACUUUGAGAUAGAACUUGAAGAGUUACUUGAGAGUGACGGGGAUGAAAAUUCUAGGGACAACAAAAGUAUAGAUGAGAAUGGGGGAGCUGGAAGACGACCAAAGACUAGGCAGAAUGAGUGUCAAAAAGCACCUGCCCAAUGCAAGAAGAAGAAUUUAGGACAGACAAAAUGGCCGUUGCGCCCCCUUCUACCAGUUAUGCCAAAAGGGACCACUGUCUUGUUUCUCUAAUCAUGCCAGCAGAAAUUUAAUGCUCGGAACAGCUUCAAGCUGUUUGUCUUCCACAGUAGAAGAGCGUUCUAUAAAUGGUUUCACUGCCCACCAGAUAGGCCAGUUGCACUGCUUGAUCCAUGAACAUGUGCAGCUACUUAUUCAAGUAUUUUCUCUGUGUGCCCUUGAUUACUCUCGGCAACAUAUUGCCUCCCAGGUUCAGAAAUUGAUCUCUGAGAUGCUCCAGAAGCGCGACGAAGUACUGACAUGGAAAAAUGUACCUUAUCCUACUGUUUGCUUUUUCCAAUCAGUACCAACUGAAUUCCCUAAUUCCUAUAGGACACAAAGCACCUUGGCAUCAUCCCUCACAUUCGAUGCACGUAAAGAGUGUUCUUCAACUAAUCAGAUGGCAGUUUCCUCAAAUACUUCUCCUUCCAAUGGUAGAUGUGAAUGUGUUCCUAAUGGGCAGGUGGGCAUUUCCCAGAAUGUUGGGGGUUCUUUCUGGGUGCCUUCUAUAAGUGGUCCUGUGCUAUCUGUCUUGGAUGUAGCUCCACUUAGUUUAGUUGGCCGUUACAUGGAUGAAGUCAAUACAGGUAUACCAUGAAGAAAGUCUCAAGUUUUUUUUUCAUGCUUUUGCUUUCAUAUUUGUGUCAAUAAUUUUUCUCUUUAUUUAUCUGCCAAUGAGUUGCGAUUAUUUUCACAGCUGUUCAGAAAAAUCGACGGUGUUACGUGGAAACUAGUUCCGAUACUCGCCUUGAAAAAGAGCCUUUGUUUCCCUUUCCAAACUUUCCAUUAGGUUCUCAGGCCACUUGCGAAUUUGUAAGUGAAACUGGUUCCUCAUCUUCCAAUGUGGCUUCAUCUUCAUCUAGUCAACGACCACCCAAAAAGUCACUGGCUGCUACCAUUGUUGAAAGUACCAAGAAGCAAUCACUUGCUCUAGUUCCAAAGGACAUAUCAAACUUAGCCCAGAGGUUUUUUCCUUUGUUCAAUCCAGCAUUAUUUCCCUAUAAACCACCCACAGGAGCAGUUGCAAACCGGAUUCUUUCCACUGAUGCAGAAGACGAGUGAGUUUCACUCAUUCUCCUUUAUUAUUGAGUUGGUGCCUUAUCCUGAUUUGUUUUUGUUGUCAGAAUUUGGAGAUUGUGAUUGAUAUGAGUCGAUAGUAUUCGUUUAUUAUUGUUUAUUGGUUCAUAUGUUUUAUAUUGGAACUGCAAUACAGAUUAUUGGCAUUGGGGAUGAUGGAGUAUGUUAGGCAGAAAAAUCGCUGCUCAUCAAAAGCACCAGAAAAUCCCAUAAAGGUAUGGAGAAACUAAUGGCUGAAUUUUUUUAUUUAUUAGUAUUACUUUGGUACAUGUGUAUUGUUGGUGGAAUGAGAUGACAAGAUAAAUUAGUAGAAAAUGAUUUCCUGUGACUAUAGUCAUUUAUUAGAAUUCAAUUAAUUGGUAGGCAUGACAAGUCAAAUGCUCGAUCAAACAUCUAAUCAUGUUUUAAUGGUUGAAAAGAAGUUAUGGUUUGGGGGUUUAAUUGUUGACUUUUAGAUCAUAAUGCUGUUGUAUACUUGUGACCCUGUCUUUUGUCAGUAAUUCAUGUAGUUGUCUAUUUCUUCAUGCAGGCAGUGCGGAGGAUGAAAAACUCACCUUUGACUGCAGAGGAGAUAGCAUAUAUUCAGGAGGUAAUGCUUGAUUCGUACAUAUAUGUGUGUAUAAAAGCUUUGAGAGCAUUACUCUCAUGUGUGCAGUGUAUGUAUAUGUAUAUACUAAAUACAUAUGUUGACUUGUUUCAAAUACGGUUCCAAUUGGCAUUCAGUUUUAUCUAUCAGAUUCUCGUUUAGCUAUAUGGUUUAAUGUGACUCCAUACUCAGGGACUUAAGGCUUAUAAAUAUGAUUGGUUGUCCAUAUGGAAAGUCAUUGUCCCACAUAGAGAUCCAUCCUUGUUGCCUCGGCAGUGGCGUAUUGCUAUUGGGACUCAGAAGUCAUAUAAGGUUGAUGAAUCGAAAAAGGAGAAGCGGCGAUUAUAUGAAUCAAAAAGAAGGAAGGACAAAAAUGCAGAUUUGUCAAGUUGGCAAAAUUCAUCCAAGAAAGAGGUAUGAUUUCCUUUGAACUUAGAACAUUGUGUUGGCAAUUCUUUUUGCAUUGAUUUUGGAGUUUUGAGUAAUUCUUUUAUGAUGGAUAUAAGAAUGAAACAUUGUGUUGGCUGUCGAACUGCUCAUAUUAGAGAAAAGGGCAUGGCUAGAGUUAUUGCUAAGUAUAUCCUUUGCUUCUUAAAUAUUGAUGAAUGUAUUGAGGCUUAGGAAUUGUAGGGUAUUUUGACAUUUUUGAACUUUCAGAAUAAAAAGUAAUUACAAAAUGUAAGAAUUAGAACGUUUGGUACAAUUUGCUUCUUAAAGUUACAAUAAAGUGCAUCAUAGAGUCUUUAAGUUUGUCAGUUUCGCAUAGAUGCAUGGUAAAUGUGCGCCAAGUCCAAUUUUACUCAUUUUUCAGAAAUGUAUAAAAGAUUCAUUUGGAACUUUUCUGCACACACCUAUAGUUUAGCUGAGCUUGGAUUAUAGAUGAUUGAAAGCCCAUUAAAUGGAUGGUGAUUUUAUUUAAAGUUUGGUACCGAUGCAGGACUGUCAAGCUGAAAAGUCUGGUGGAGAGAACAGUGCAGAUGGUUUGACCGACAAUAAUGCAGGUGAAACUUAUGUUCAUGAGGCCUUUUUAGCAGAUUGGAGACCAGGUAUUUCCUGUGUAGAAAGAAACCCUAAUAGUGGUACCCUAUCCCGACGUGCUAUCAAUGAAUGGGUAGAUGUUUUUGGGCGUAAUGAAGCUCUUCAAACCCAGACCGCGUCACAGUGUCCGCAUGGUCAAUCUCAAACAACUGGUGUUAGACAUUUUGCAUCCAAUACCACACAAGCGAAUCAUUCUGUUUCUCAACUCUAUUAUCGGCCGUAUCGAGCUCGUAGAACUAAUGGCACACAACUAGUUAAGCUAGCACCGGAAUUGCCUCCUGUGAAUCUUCCACCAUCUGUUCGUGUAGUCUCACAAUCUGCCUUCAGAGGCCCUUUACAUGGGGCAUCUUCCACAGUUUCUGCUUCUGGAGGUGGUAGUGGUGCUGCUGCAACACACAAUCCAUUUUCUCAACUUUCUAAAGUUGGAAGGUUCGGGACCUCUGAUGCCAUAACAGCUACACAGAAUAAAAGUAGUUCUGUGAAAGACACUGUUUCGACGUUGCAUCCAGAAGAUUCUAGAAUCAUGAAGGAUAAAUGUAUAGAGGAAGGAAGAGAUGUUGAUUCUGAUCUUCAGAUACAUCCUCUGCUGUUCCAGGCCCCGGAAGAUGGACGUCUGUCCUAUUUCCCGUUGAACUGCAGCAACAGCAAUUCUAGUCCUUUCAGUUUUCUUUCAGCAAAUCAGCCUCAGCUACAUUUAAGCCUUUUUCAUAAUCCUCAACAAGGAAACCAUGUUGAUGGUUUUGACAAAUCACUGAAGGCACCCAACUCAACAUCUCGUGCCAGUGUCAUUGAUUUCCAUCCACUGAUGCAAAGAACUGAUUAUGUAAGUAGUGCCACAGUAAGAACAUGCUCAACUGUACCCCUUUCUGCUGGUUCAGGGGGAAACCGUUCUCAAGACCAAUAUCCUUCUGAUACUGGUCGGACUCAUUUGUCGGUCAAUGCUGAUCCACAGGCUAUGGGCACUAAUGAGAGAGCUAAUGAACUGGACUUGGAGAUCCACCUAAGUUCUACAUCUAAAAAGGAAAAAGCUUCAAAAAGGAGAGAUGUCACCGUUGAUAAUUCAGUUAAAUCAAGAAUAACGGAGCCAGAAAAGACAACUCAAUGUCCUAAUAGUUCAUUGCUUCGGCAGGCUGAAAGUUCUUCAGCAAGUGGUAGCGAGCUUGUUGUACCAAGUAAUAAUAUUAGCAGGUACAGUGUAGAUGAUACAGGUGACCAGUCCCAACCUGCUAUUCAGAUGGAACAGGAAGAGUUGAUCGACUCUGAUGAAGAAAAUGAAGAAAAUGUUGAGUUUGAGUGUGAGGAGAUGACUGAUUCUGAAGGAGAGGGGGGUUCGGCGUGUGAAGAAAUUGCCGAGAUGCAGAAUAAGGUGACUUUUCUCGUCUUUUUUUCCCAUUCAGUUUUAAGAUUCUAUUGGCUUAAGGGAACCACGUAUUUUUACUUAUGGCCUAAGUUAUUAAUGCUACCAUUCUAGUAAUUUUGCUCGUGGGCCUCCAUCUCUUAUUGUUACGGGUACCCGCCAAUCUUGUUCGGUAAGGGAGUCCUCAUUUGUUCCUUUUUCUGACUUUCCAUUUUCUUGUUUAUAGGAUGUUCCAUCGUUUGCAAUGAAAAGACCUGCAACAGCAGAUCUUGAUGGCAAGGAGUGUGAGCCAAAACCCACUUAUCGUCCUCAGGACAAUAUUCACAGAAUUCCUUACUUGGACGAUGCCAGUAAUUCUUCAUGGGUAAGUUUGGAUUCAUGCGCGCCAGAUCACCCUUCGCACAUUAUGUCCAAGUAUGAUGAAGGUACAAUGGACAGCAGUUUUGCUGCCAAUGACUCGCAGUCGUCUUGGCCUGUUCGCUCUUGUAAGAAGGCAAAACUGAGCACAAGGGGAGGUGCAACGCAGAAACAAGCGGUGGACAUGACGCACCAACUGAGCCUGGGUCCUCCAUCAAAUCCGACGGUGAGCAAACCCAGGAAGCGUGUAUCGGGAUCGAGUACAUGUUUGAACAUAGGAUUGACUGUAGAAAACUCCGGCAGUGAUGGCUAACAUAAAAGAUUUUCAAAUGACUCUGCACCCUUACUAACCCUAGUUUCUAGUUCUAUUACAAGUAGAAAUAGAAUUACAACUCGAAAGGGAAAAGCUAUUAAAAUUACAAGUAGAAAAGGGAAAAACUAUUAAAACUAGAAAAGCUAUUAAAAUCACAACUAGAAAAGGAAUUAAAAGUAGAAAUAGAAUUAUAUUGGGUAAUAUAUUAAGGUGACUAAUUUUAUAGAUAAAAUUUUACAAAAUAAAUGAUAUGAAAAUUGAUAAUUGAAUCAUUACUUAAGCACUAAUUAACGUGCUUAUUCCUAUUGAUGAUACAUCAUUUAGUUUGUAAAUUUUGUUUUACAAAUUUACAACUCACUAUAAUUCUUCACUACUCAUACAGGAAGGUAAGAAAAACUUGCUUUUUUGGAGGGAAUCAAAAUGACGUAAAUCCCCAAUUUUAUGACAUAGGAACAGAUUUUUGCUAUUACAAGUAGAAAUAAGAUUACAACUCGAAAGGGGAAAAGCUAUUAAAAUUACAAGUAGAAAAGGAAAAGCUAUUAAAACUAGAAAAGCUAUUAAAAUUACAACUAGAAAAGGAAUUAAAAGUAGAAAUAGAAUUAUAUUGGGUAAUAUUAAGGUGACUAAUUUUAUAGAUAAAAUUUUAAAAAAUAAAUGAUAUGAAAAUUGAUAAUUGAAUUAUUACUUAAGCACUAAUUAACGUGCUCAUUCCUAUUGAUGAUACAUUAUUUAGUUUGUAAAUUUUGUUUACAAAUUUAAUGCACAUACCAUUAUACGUGAUUCAAUUUGGAGGGGCACGUUUAUGUCCCUUGGAUUUAUUAGAAGAAAAAAAUGCCACGUUGCUUGAUUAUAAUUUAAUUUAGAGGGGCACAUUUAUUGCGGAUGAUACUGAGGGGUUGUAUGGAAGAAAAACACCCCAAAAUUGGAGAUUGAGAGACUACUAGAAGGCGAGUUCAAGAAAAAAAAAAUGGAAAACUAAUGAAAAGAACUUAAAAAUUUUUAGUUUUAAUGAUAAGGACAAAAUAAAAGGUAAAGUGAAUAAUACCAAGAUUGAUUUUUUAGUGUAAAAAUGUGAUUUUUCGUUAAAGUAAACAGUACCGAAUACUUUUUAUUAAAGUUCCUUGAAAAAAAAACAGCAGGAAUCGAGAUCGAGAGAGAAACAUGGCGAGGAAUAGUGUCAGUGGCCUUUGGAUGCGACAGACUUUGCUUGGAAGUGGAAACGGCAUAGGCAAUGGCUCCUUCCAAACCCAAGGUCUCGGUCGUCUUGACAAUCCCAAGUUUUUUCCAAAUUGUAUCCAAACCCUAAAAGCCCUAAAUUGGAUCUCAACCGCACCGCCUCUAUCCCCCUCGAUUCAUAUUAUUUCCACUCCCAAAUCACCCGUCUUUCUCGAUUCCCUGCAUUUUCUGCAACACCGACGACGGCUGUCCUCAGCCCCGGCCCCGGCCCAGGCCCAGUUCCAGUCCCCGUCCCCGUUUCCAGCUCCCCGAGGUAACCCCUUUCUCUUUCUCUUCCGAUGAUGUUGUUGUUGCCACUGAGACUGCUGUGCUAUUUUUAUAGAAAUUAAAUUUCCAAGUCCCGCGGCCAUGGUCAUCUUGCGGGAAGAGGACGAAUAUCGGAGAGCAAUUCGAAAAGUUAAAGGUAUUCCUCAUUUUUCCACUGCAUCGUCAUCUUAUUUAUUAGGCCUUUUUUUGCUUCGGCUGCGUAGCAAAAGGAAGAAUAUCCACCAAAACUACUGGUUAGGUCAAACUAAAAAUUCACUGGCAAUACGCAGAUUCCAGCUCCACAGUUCACUCAACCGAUUCCGGUUUACACAGUCCUAACUUUUGCUUGUAUUCAUUUUCAAACUGCUGUAUUUUUUCCCCUUACAUGUAAUAUUAUACAUGCAGUUUUAAAUAAUCAUUAUUAUUAAUUUUUGAAUUUUGAUAGAUGAACAACUGCCAGCAGUUUUCUACUUUGUUAGGCACGAUGCUCAAAGUUGUAAGUUCUAAUGAACAAUUUUAUGAAUCAAUUUAUUUGUUCUAAACUGCUCCUUUGCAACUUAUAUAUGGACUCUUCUUUUUCAGGCUUUCUUUUUGGAUCUCCAACCACUCGAAAGAUGAGGGAACAAUUCCCACAUGUAACAGUGUAUAAGUUUGUGUCUGAUAUACAGGUAUGGUGUUGUAAUCCGGCCUUCUGUUGCCUUGGAUCCUUUGAUAACUAGUUAAGUCAUAUUCCCAUUUUAAGGUUAAGAAGAAAACAAAGUGUUGUCUUUUUUCAAAUUCUAGUUAUGGAUCUUAAGAUUAAUGAAUUUCUAUGUUGUAGUCGUAACAUUUUAUAACUCUGCAGAACUGGCACCCACUGGCAGGACUGAUGGGUGUUAGCUCUCUGGUAAAUGAUUGUAUCCCCCUCCUUUUUAUUUUUCUUAAAAAAAAUGUGCAUGCUUACUUCGUUAAUAUGAUUGUUCAUCUUGUUUUUCUUAAUAAAUACUUUGGUGUUUAUGUGUCCAUUCUGCUGCAGCCAACAUUCCAUUUCUAUCAAAAUGGGAAAAAGGUGGAUGAGAUUUUUCCCAGUCCCUAUCUAAAUAGGCGGUCAGAUGAAUCUGAGAUUCCCAGCCUCGUGCUAGAUACUUGUGAAAAACUCUACAGGUAGUUCUUUUCUAAAUAACUUCACCGUUGCAUGCUUCUGCUGCAUAAUUGCGAGUGCAGUCUGAUAUUGGUGGCUGCCGGCUGAGGUUUUUGUUUUUCCUUUUCUUUUUUUUAUGGUUCAAGUGAAGUUCCCUCUGAAUGUGCUCCCUAUGUUGAUUUUUUUUUUUCACUGGAAGGUACGUCAUCCAGGUUGAAAAACCUCACCCUAUGGGCUCAUCUGGGAAAGGGAAGGGCAAAAGGAAGAGUACUUAUCAACAACUUGUCGUGCAAGCUAAGACUGAUGCAAACGAAAAUGACAAAGUAGUUGCUUUAGGAGGGGGGAGAGCGGGUGAUGCAUCGACAUCAUCAGAACAGAGAUGGCCGUGUUGAAGCAGUAUAUAGUAGUGGCAGUGCACCUUCACUUGAUAAAGCGAUGAGGGCUGUAUCAGCUAACCCCUAUUGUUAUGAACAUAGCGAUCUGUGGUGGUAUGCAAAAGGGUUAUUGAAAGCUAACCCUCAGAAGAGAGCAACGCUACUGAAGGUGGGGACACGUGAGGUUAGUUGGCUACGAAGUCACAUGUCCGAGGAUUAAGUUGGCCUUGGAUUGGACCGGAUAGGAUGCGCUUAAAAUUUGAUACUCAUUAUAUCUAAAUAGGCCGUCAGAUGAAUCUGAGAUUCCCAACCUCGUGCUAGAUACUUUUGAAAAACUCUACAGG